This is a long non-coding RNA of Vicia villosa (hairy vetch), 618 nucleotides long. RefSeq lists it as uncharacterized. The record is from RefSeq and is a predicted model, not a curated record. NCBI's taxonomy places the organism in Eukaryota, Viridiplantae, Streptophyta, Magnoliopsida, Fabales, Fabaceae. The transcript is spliced from 3 exons.
UUUCUGUUAUGGAUUGGAGGGCUGAGAUUGAAUCAGUUAGAGUUAGUUAUAGGAGUUUGGAGGUUGGUUAAUUCUGUUUGAAGUUUGUUGUAUGGUGAAAUGAAUUCUGUUUAUUUGAAAUUGAAAGGUGAGGGGGAAAGCUAGAAUUGGUUAACAGGUUAGUUGCUGGUAGUUAGGGGCUACAAAAUCGGUUAGGGAAGUUAGUUAUAGGUAUUGGGGAAUUAGUUCUGUUAGUUAAAAAGUUGGCUGUAGGUAGUUAGUAAACUGUUAUGGUGGGUAAUUGUGAACUGAUUUUUGUAUGUGGACUGUUUAUUUGCCGUGACAGUUUGAAAUUGAAUUGGUUGCAGGGUAAGUGGAUGUUUGGCUUAGAUGUAUAAUCCUUGGGUCAGGUCUUUGAAUAGGCUGAUUGUGUUUGAGUCUUGAGGUGGUUUAUUUGAAUUCUUUUGGCUUAAGCGCAAGUUCGGUUAGCAGCUGUUUGGAUCGGAUUGAAAGUGAGCGAAUUGGCUACGGGAUGUAUAUGUAUGAAUGUAGUGUGGAUAUGGUUGAUAUGUCUUGGAAAUGUAUGAAAGUGGUAUUGGACAUAGGCAAUUAUUUGGUUUUGGAAUGCUGAUUGGAAAG